CGUACACUCCUACGGGAGGCAGCAGUGGGGAAUAUUGGACAAUGGGCGCAAGCCUGAUCCAGCCAUGCCGCGUGAGUGAUGAAGGCCCUAGGGUUGUAAAGCUCUUUCACCGGUGAAGAUAAUGACGGUAACCGGAGAAGAAGCCCCGGCUAACUUCGUGCCAGCAGCCGCGGUAAUACGAAGGGGGCUAGCGUUGUUCGGAUUUACUGGGCGUAAAGCGCACGUAGGCGGACUAUUAAGUCAGGGGUGAAAUCCCGGGGCUCAACCCCGGAACUGCCUUUGAUACUGGUAGUCUUGAGUUCGAGAGAGGUGAGUGGAAUUCCGAGUGCAGAGGUGAAAUUCGUAGAUAUUCGGAGGAACACCAGUGGCGAAGGCGGCUCACUGGCUCGAUACUGACGCUGAGGUGCGAAAGCGUGGGGAGCAAACAGGAUUAGAAACCCUGGUAGUCCCAUGAU
RNAcentral lists this ribosomal RNA (455 nucleotides) under uncultured organism. RNAcentral describes it as "partial 16S ribosomal RNA". It matches the Rfam family "Bacterial small subunit ribosomal RNA", at positions 330 to 801 of the family's 1533-position model. The record is from RNAcentral.